RNAcentral lists this ribosomal RNA (497 nucleotides) under uncultured bacterium. RNAcentral's name for it is "partial 16S ribosomal RNA". It matches the Rfam family "Bacterial small subunit ribosomal RNA", at positions 28 to 507 of the family's 1533-position model. The record is from RNAcentral.
GAUGAACGCUGGCGGCGUGCUUAAUACAUGCAAGUCGAGCGAACAGACGGUGCGCUCGCCCUUCUGUCGUGGGCGACGGACGGGUGAUUAGCACGUGGAUAACCUUUCUCUCAGACUUGGAUAACUUCGGGAAACUGGAGUUCCUACCAGAUAAUAUAUUUAACCGCAUGGUUCGAUAGUGACAGUCGGUAGUGCUGUCACUUAUAGACGCAUCCUCGCCGCUUUAGAUAGAUGUUAUGGUUACGGCCUACCAAGGCAGCUAUGCGUAGCCGACCUGAGAGAGUGGUCGGCCACACUGGAGCUGGGACACGGUCCAGACUACUACGGGAGGCAGCAGUAGCGAAUCGUCCGCAAUGGGCGAGAGCCUGACGGAGCAACGGCGCGUGAGUGAUGAAGGUCUUCGGAUCGUAAAGCCCUGUUAUUAGGUAAGAACAAAUGUGUAAGUAACUAUGCACGUCUUGACGGUAGCUAAACAGAAAGCCACGGCUAACUACGUG